Hippoglossus stenolepis (Pacific halibut) is the source of this 1060-nucleotide long non-coding RNA. RefSeq lists it as uncharacterized. The record is from RefSeq and is a predicted model, not a curated record. Lineage: Eukaryota; Metazoa; Chordata; Actinopteri; Pleuronectiformes; Pleuronectidae. The transcript has 2 exons.
GAUUGAUUUAAAAAAAAGUAAUCAUCACAGGUAAUGAAACAAAGACAUGAGAUAUAAAUUCCACGUUGUUCUUAUUUUAUCUGACCUAUAUAGCAGGUGUCAUUGUUUUUGCUGACCGUCACAGUAACACUUGAACGCAUCAUUAGCGGGGGAAUCACAGGUGAGGGAGAACUUUGUUGUGAGCUGGGUCGAGCAAGAUGGAGCCGAGGAAAGCUGCUGAUGACGAAGGGGAAUCAGAAAGUCCAACUGAACCAUUCAAAACUAAAACGAGGACUCGCAGAAAGGACUCAUGUGAGGACCUGUCGCUGGCCCAGAGGAAAACCCCCAAGCCUGUGUGUGUGUGUGUGUGUGUGUGUGCGCGCUGAGAUGCGAGCUAACAAGACCCUGGGACCGUGUAAAGUGCGCCGCCAUUUAGAAACUAAACAUGGACAAUAUUUAUCCAAGCCUCGAGCACCUUUUUAAAAAUCCGCCGAGAGAGCAUCGGAGCCAGCUAACACACCCCCCCUCUCAUCGGGAGAUGCACUUGACAAUUCUGACACCGAUCAGGCCUCAUCCACUGAAAAUGACAAUGAGGCAGUUGAAGAAAUGAAGCAGCAUGUACCAAGCCAAGACUCUGUUUCAGAUGGAGCAGACAAUACCUUAAACACUCCUGUUGAUGUUGAAGAUGCCAAGCAGACACAUCCACACUAUGAAGAGGAUAUAUCUGAUGAUCGCUUAUGACAUAUAAGGGAUCCAGACUAUACCCCAUCCUUUGAUGAGUCCUUGUCAUCAAAGGCCAUCCAAGGAUGUCAUAAGCGAUCCAGACUAUUCCCCAUCCUUUGACUAGUCCUUGUCAUCAAAGGCCAUCCAAGGAUGUCAUAAGCGAUCCAGACUAUACCCCAUCCUUUGAUGAGUCAUUUGAAGGUGUGAUCGAAGACCAUCCAGAAACCCAAGGAGAUCAGUCAAACACAGAAAUACCUCUUAUGUUACAUAAUUGACAGACAUUGUUAUUAGUAUGUCAAUAGUCAUCUAUUGUCAUAACCUUUUUGAGUGAAAUUAUUAAUAAAUAUCAUAUAUUCAA